Molecule: ribosomal RNA, 497 nt
Filed under: uncultured bacterium
Lineage: Bacteria
Description: partial 16S ribosomal RNA
Rfam family: Bacterial small subunit ribosomal RNA
Source: RNAcentral
GAUGAACGCUGGCGGCGUGCCUAAUACAUGCCAGUCGAGCGAACGGACGAGAAGCUUGCUUCUCUGAUGUUAGCGGCGGACGGGUGAGUAACACGUGGAUAACCUACCUAUAAGACUGGGAUAACUUCGGGAAACCGGAGCUAAUACCGGAUAAUAUUUUGAACCGCAUGGUUCAAAAGUGAAAGACGGUCUUGCUGUCACUUAUAGAUGGAUCCGCGCUGCAUUAGCUAGUUGGUAAGGUAACGGCUUACCAAGGCAACGAUGCAUAGCUGACCUGAGAGGGUGAUCGGCCACACUGGAACUGAGACACGGUCCAGACUCCUACGGGAGGCAGCAGUAGGGAAUCUUCCGCAAUGGGCGAAAGCCUGACGGAGCAACGCCGCGUGAGUGAUGAAGGUCUUCGGAUCGUAAAACUCUGUUAUUAGGGAAGAACAUAUGUGUAAGUAACUGUGCACAUCUUGACGGUACCUAAUCAGAAAGCCACGGCUAACUACGUG